RNAcentral lists this signal recognition particle RNA (299 nucleotides) under Cebus imitator (Panamanian white-faced capuchin). RNAcentral describes it as "Metazoan signal recognition particle RNA (ENSCCAG00000001643.1)". It matches the Rfam family "Metazoan signal recognition particle RNA". From Rfam's summary of the family: The signal recognition particle (SRP) is a universally conserved ribonucleoprotein. It is involved in the co-translational targeting of proteins to membranes. The eukaryotic SRP consists of a 300-nucleotide 7S RNA and six proteins: SRPs 72, 68, 54, 19, 14, and 9. The record is from RNAcentral. Lineage: Eukaryota; Metazoa; Chordata; Mammalia; Primates; Cebidae.
GCCGGGUGCAGUGGCGUGUGUCUGUAGUCCCAGCUACUUAGGAGGCUGAGAUGGGAAGAUUGCUUGAGCCCAGGAGUUCUGGACAGUAAUGCACUAUGCCGAUUGGGUGUCCACACUAAAUUCGGCAUCAAUAUGGUGACCUCCUGGAAGCAAGGGACCACAGGUUGCCUAAGGAGGGGUGCACUGACCCAAGGUCAGAAAUGGAGCAGAUCAAAAUUCCUGUGCUGAUCAGUGGUGGGAUCAUGCCUGUGAAUAGCCACUGCAGUCCAGCCUGGGCAACAUAGCAAGACCCUGUCUCU